This 20-nucleotide non-coding RNA is filed under the name Arabidopsis thaliana (thale cress). Lineage: Eukaryota; Viridiplantae; Streptophyta; Magnoliopsida; Brassicales; Brassicaceae. The record is from RNAcentral. RNAcentral also lists the same sequence under 1 other name.
CGAACCAUCUAGUAGCUGGU